Molecule: ribosomal RNA, 497 nt
Filed under: uncultured bacterium
Lineage: Bacteria
Description: partial 16S ribosomal RNA
Rfam family: Bacterial small subunit ribosomal RNA
Source: RNAcentral
GAUGAACGCUGGCGGCGUGCCUAAUACAUGCAAGUCGAGCGAACAGACGAGGAUCUUGCUCCUCUGACGUUAGCGGCGGACGGGUGAGUAACACGUGGAUAACCUACCUAUAAGACUGGGAUAACUUCGGGAAACCGGAGCUAAUACCGGAUAAUAUAUUGAACCGCAUGGUUCAAUAGUGAAAGACGGUUUUGCUGUCACUUAUAGAUGGUUCCGCGCCGCCUUAGCUAGUUGGUAAGGUAACGGCUUCCCAAGGCAACGAUGGGUAGCCGACCUGCGAGGGUGAUCGGCCACACUGGAACUGAGACACGGUCCAGACUCCGACGGGAAGGAGCAGUAGGGAAUCGUCCGAAAGGGGCGAAAGCCUGACGGAGCAACGCCGCGUGAGUGAUGAAGGUCUUCGGAUUGUAAAACUCUGUUAUUAGGGAAGAACAAAUGUGUAAGUAACUAUGCACGUCUUGACGGUACCUAAUCAGAAAGCCACGGCUAACUACGUG